Molecule: non-coding RNA, 104 nt
Organism: Acanthosepion pharaonis
Lineage: Eukaryota; Metazoa; Mollusca; Cephalopoda; Sepiida; Sepiidae
Source: the annotation of a GenBank genome assembly
UUACGGCCACACCACAUUGAAUCACCGGUUCCGGUACGAGCACCGAAGUUAAGCAACGUCGAGCGGGGUCAGUAUCUAGAUGGAUGACCAGUUGGGAAUACAAG